This 567-nucleotide small RNA is filed under the name Pongo abelii (Sumatran orangutan). RNAcentral's name for it is "retained intron". Lineage: Eukaryota; Metazoa; Chordata; Mammalia; Primates; Hominidae. The record is from RNAcentral.
CCGGGUGGACGACGCCGUGGCUGCCAAGCACCCGGUGAGAAGGCUGGUCUGGGACGCGGGCCUCAGACCCCAGAAGCUGACCUGAGCGAGGUGGGGGGCUGGGGCGUGGGGGUGCCCUCGUCAGGGAAGAGUGGCGGAGACUGGGGGCACUCUCUUGCUAAGGGGCUCAGGGCGUCUGGGCGGGCAUAGGGGAGGUGGGACGUGUCCAAGCGCCCAGGGUCUCACUCCUCCACAGCCAGGGUGUGCCCAGAGGAGGGACAGGAGAGGCGGUGAAGGAAGAGGGCAGGGGAUCGAGCCUUCACCCGCCUCUGCCACCCCAGGGACUCGGGGAGUAUGCCGCAUGCCAGUCACACGCCUUCAUGAAGGGCGUUUUCACCUUCGUCACAGGCACCGGCAUGGCCUUCGGCUUGCAGAUGUUCAUUCAGAGGAAGUUUCCAUACCCUUUGCAGUGGAGCCUUCUAGUGGCCGUGGUUGCAGGCUCUGUGGCCAGCUACGGGGUGACAAGAGUGGAGUCAGAGAAAUGCAGCAACCUCUGGCUCUUCCUGGAGACCGGGCAGCUCCCCAAAG